Molecule: long non-coding RNA, 462 nt
Organism: Heterocephalus glaber (naked mole-rat)
Lineage: Eukaryota; Metazoa; Chordata; Mammalia; Rodentia; Bathyergidae
Source: Ensembl
CAUCCUUUCUCUGCACCUGGGCUGGCUCCUCAUCUGCUACUUGAGACAUGGGCGUUUCCCAAGGGUCUCAUCAUUCUCACCAGCUGGCUCUUCUGGAUGAGUCUUAAAUCUUCGGCUCCAGCGCUGUUUUCCUUCUACACCCCAGGCUUGUCUAACAGCCCAGUCAGUGUGUUACCUCCUGAGGGCCAGAGGGGACCGGAUCCGCCAUGGGACAGGCACACUAUGAAGCAGAUGAGCAUCAGUGAACAGUUACUGAUCGUCUGGUGGGAGAUGGGGACCAAACUUUAAGGCUGUGAGCUCCUCAAGGACAGGGACUGUGUGUCAGUCACUGUUAUAUCCACAGCGCCUAGCACAGUGCCUGGCACACAGUAGGUGCUCAAUAAAUGUUUAUUGAAAGGAUGAACGAGUCCUGAGUCCCAUUAUGGAGACUUCUGCUCUAUACUCUGGAAGGCAAGAGGAGAG